UACGUAGGUGGCAAGCGUUGUCCGGAAUUACUGGGCGUAAAGGGCGUGUAGGCAGCCUUCUAAGUCAGACGUGAAAUCCCUGGGCUUAACCCAGGAACUGCGUUUGAAACUGAGAGGCUUGAGGAUCGGAGAGGGCAGUGGGAUUCCCAGUGUAGCGGUGAAAUGCGUAGAUAUUGGGAGGAACACCAGUGGCGAAGGCGACUGUCUGGACGACACCUGACGCUGAGGCGCGAAAGCUAGGGGAG
This 245-nucleotide ribosomal RNA is filed under the name uncultured bacterium. Its description in RNAcentral is "partial 16S ribosomal RNA". It matches the Rfam family "Bacterial small subunit ribosomal RNA", at positions 524 to 768 of the family's 1533-position model. The record is from RNAcentral.